UACAUGCCUCAACAUACCACAUAAAUUGCAAGAAAUUAAAUAAAUAAAAAACUUGCUAUCACAUUUUCACCCUCUAUAUAUUGUGUAUGUUUAUACACCAAUUUAUUAUUCCUCACUAACAUAGUUAUUCAAUUAUUCCCAAGGAAAAAAAAUGGAUGAACCUCUUGUACCCCAAGAGAUGAGUUAUGUGGAAAAUGUUCACAAACGCCAUGAAGAAAAAGGCUGUCUUUAUGCUUGCUUGUUUGCCUUAUGUUGCUGCUUUUGUUGCUAUGAGACAUGUGAAUGUUGUUUGGAUGUGGCAUGUUGUUGUUGCUCCUAGAAGGUUACAAAUUUGAUUCUAUGUAAUAGUUAUGAAUAAAGAUUUAGUAGCAUUUUCAGUGUGUUACUUUUGACUUAUGGUUUUGGUUUUGGUUACUUUAUGCUCAAGGAGGCAUAGGCCUAAUUUACUAGGAUUCUUUUUCAUGUUGGAAUGUUUUUUACUUGGUGUGAUGAUAAUUAAUAACGGUGUGAAUGUGAAAUGAACAAUGUGCAUGAACAUUUGUUGAAAC
Molecule: long non-coding RNA, 548 nt
Organism: Lathyrus oleraceus (garden pea)
Lineage: Eukaryota; Viridiplantae; Streptophyta; Magnoliopsida; Fabales; Fabaceae
Exons: 2
Source: RefSeq, a predicted model, not a curated record